UGGCUCAGGAUGAACGCUAGCGGCAGGCUUAACACAUGCAAGUCGAGGGGCAGCAGAUCGAAAGCUUGCUUUGAUGCUGGCGACCGGCGCACGGGUGAGUAACGCGUAUCCAACCUUCCCUAUAGUAGAGAAUAGCCCGGCGAAAGUCGGAUUAAUGCUCUAUGUUGUAUUUAGAAGACAUCUGAAGAAUACCAAAGGUUUACCGCUAUAGGAUGGGGAUGCGUCUGAUUAGGUUGUUGGCGGGGUAACGGCCCACCAAGCCUACGAUCAGUAGGGGUUCUGAGAGGAAGGUCCCCCACAUUGGAACUGAGACACGGUCCAAACUCCUACGGGAGGCAGCAGUGAGGAAUAUUGGUCAAUGGACGAAAGUCUGAACCAGCCAAGUAGCGUGCAGGAUGACGGCCCUAUGGGUUGUAAACUGCUUUUAUACAGGGAUAAAGUGAGGGACGUGUCCCUUUUGUAGGUACUGUAUGAAUAAGGACCGGCUAAUUCCGUGCCAGCCGCUGC
Molecule: ribosomal RNA, 507 nt
Filed under: uncultured bacterium
Lineage: Bacteria
Description: bacterial SSU rRNA
Rfam family: Bacterial small subunit ribosomal RNA
Source: RNAcentral